Molecule: non-coding RNA, 352 nt
Organism: Pelobates cultripes (western spadefoot toad)
Lineage: Eukaryota; Metazoa; Chordata; Amphibia; Anura; Pelobatidae
Source: the annotation of a GenBank genome assembly
GCCCAUAAUUUGGGCAUAAUCAUCGCUGAUGUAGAUAGCCUAGUUCAUGAACGACGUGCGCAGGGUCUUCCCAGAAGGGAUGAUGAUGAUGAUGAAUAGAUAUCUGUGGGAAGAAUGCACUCAGAUGUUUAUUUCUCAUUAUCAUCCACAAUGUGAACACAACUGACGCUGUUCAUCGUAGGUUGUUACAUUCUCAAUUUCCUCCUGGUUUUCCCUAUCCUUCCCCUGAAUAUACAUUGGUUCAUUCUCCUCUGCACUAUAUCCUCCCAGGACUGCUCCUAACAACCUGGGCUGCCUCUGCUUUGUUGCUUCUCCCACUUGCUUUUCUAAUUAAAAAAAUAUUGGAUUACAA